RNAcentral lists this small nuclear RNA (175 nucleotides) under Salmo trutta (river trout). RNAcentral's name for it is "U2 spliceosomal RNA (ENSSTUG00000047607.1)". It matches the Rfam family "U2 spliceosomal RNA". From Rfam's summary of the family: U2 is a small nuclear RNA (snRNA) component of the spliceosome (involved in pre-mRNA splicing). Complementary binding between U2 snRNA (in an area lying towards the 5' end but 3' to hairpin I) and the branchpoint sequence (BPS) of the intron results the bulging out of an unpaired adenosine, on the BPS, which initiates a nucleophilic attack at the intronic 5' splice site, thus starting the first of two transesterification reactions that mediate splicing. Lineage: Eukaryota; Metazoa; Chordata; Actinopteri; Salmoniformes; Salmonidae. The record is from Rfam by way of RNAcentral.
AAAACUUUUUCAAAAGAAAAAAUCUGUUCUCAUUAGUUUAAUAUCUGAUACUUCCCCUAUCUGGGGACCAUAUAUUAAAUAGAUUUUUGGAACAGGGAGAUGGAAUAGGGGCUUGCUCCGUCCACUCCACGCAUCGACCUGGUAUUGCAGUACCUCCAGGAAUGGUGCACCCCCU